GCCAGUGUGGCAUAGUGGUUUGAGAAUUGGACUGCAACUCUUAAGAUCAGGGUUCAGUUCCCAGCUUGGUCA
Non-coding RNA from Phrynosoma platyrhinos (Desert horned lizard), 72 nucleotides. The record is from the annotation of a GenBank genome assembly. Lineage: Eukaryota; Metazoa; Chordata; Lepidosauria; Squamata; Phrynosomatidae.